UGUGUGUGUUCAAAUCCUCUAUCUAUGUGU
Molecule: non-coding RNA, 30 nt
Filed under: Mus musculus (house mouse)
Lineage: Eukaryota; Metazoa; Chordata; Mammalia; Rodentia; Muridae
Source: RNAcentral